Molecule: ribosomal RNA, 1435 nt
Filed under: Enterococcus faecalis
Lineage: Bacteria; Bacillati; Bacillota; Bacilli; Lactobacillales; Enterococcaceae
Description: bacterial SSU rRNA
Rfam family: Bacterial small subunit ribosomal RNA
Source: RNAcentral
CAAAUGGCAAGUCGAACGCUUCUUUCCUCCCGAGUGCUUGCACUCAAUUGGAAAGAGGAGUGGCGGACGGGUGAGUAACACGUGGGUAACCUACCCAUCAGAGGGGGAUAACACUUGGAAACAGGUGCUAAUACCGCAUAACAGUUUAUGCCGCAUGGCAUAAGAGUGAAAGGCGCUUUCGGGUGUCGCUGAUGGAUGGACCCGCGGUGCAUUAGCUAGUUGGUGAGGUAACGGCUCACCAAGGCCACGAUGCAUAGCCGACCUGAGAGGGUGAUCGGCCACACUGGGACUGAGACACGGCCCAGACUCCUACGGGAGGCAGCAGUAGGGAAUCUUCGGCAAUGGACGAAAGUCUGACCGAGCAACGCCGCGUGAGUGAAGAAGGUUUUCGGAUCGUAAAACUCUGUUGUUAGAGAAGAACAAGGACGUUAGUAAAUGAACGUCCCCUGACGGUAUCUAACCAGAAAGCCACGGCUAACUACGUGCCAGCAGCCGCGGUAAUAAGUAGGUGGCAAGCGUUGUCCGGAUUUAUUGGGCGUAAAGCGAGCGCAGGCGGUUUCUUAAGUCUGAUGUGAAAGCCCCCGGCUCAACCGGGGAGGGUCAUUGGAAACUGGGAGACUUGAGUGCAGAAAAGGAGAGUGGAAUUCCAUGUGUAGCGGUGAAAUGCGUACAUAUAUGGAGGAACACCAGUGGCGAAGGCGGCUCUCUGGUCUGUAACUGACGCUGAGACUCGAAAGCCUGGGGAGCAAACAGGAUUAGAUACCCUGGUAGUCCACGCCGCAAACGAUGAGUGCUAACUGUUGGAGGGUUUCCGCCCUUCAGUGCUGCAGCAAACAAAGUAUAGCACUCCGCCUGGGGAGUACGACCGCAAGGUUGAAACUAAAACGAGAUUGACGGGUGGCCCGCACACAGCAGUAGGAGCAAGAGCGUUUAAUUCGAAGCUAACGCGAAGAACCUGACCAGGACUAGACAUCCGUUGACCACUCUACAGAAAAAACUUUCCCGUCGGCGACAAAGUGACAGGUGGUGCAUGGUUGUCGUCAGCUCGUGUCGUGAGAUGUUGGGUUAAGUCCCGCAACGAGCGCAACCCUUAUUGUUAGUUGCCAUCAUUUAGUUGGGCACUCUAGCGAGACUGCCGGUGACAAACCGGAGGAAGGUGGGGAUGACGUCAAAUCAUCAUGCCCCUUAUGACCUGGGCUACACACGUGCUACAAUGGGAAGUACAACGAGUCGCUAGACCGCGAGGUCAUGCAAAUCUCUUAAAGCUUCUCUCAGUUCGGAUUGCAGGCUGCAACUCGCCUGCAUGAAGCUGGAAUCGCUAGUAAUCGCGGAUCAGCACGCCGCGGUGAAUACGUUCCCGGGCCUUGUACACACCGCCCGUCACACCACGAGAGUUUGUAACACCCGAAGUCGGUGAGGUAACCUUUUGGAGCCC